RNAcentral lists this ribosomal RNA (253 nucleotides) under uncultured bacterium. RNAcentral's name for it is "partial 16S ribosomal RNA". It matches the Rfam family "Bacterial small subunit ribosomal RNA", at positions 524 to 776 of the family's 1533-position model. The record is from RNAcentral.
UACGUAGGGUGCGAGCGUUGACCGGAAUUAUUGGGCGUAAAGCGCUCGUAGGCGGUCUGUCGCGUCGGCAGUGAAAACUCAGGGCUUAACCCUGAGCCUGCUUCCGAUACGGGCAGACUAGAGGUAUGCAGGGGAGAAUGGAAUUCCUGGUGUAGCGGUGAAAUGCGCAGAUAUCAGGAGGAACACCAGUGGCGAAGGCAGUUCUCUGGGCAUUACCUGACGCUGAGGAGCGAAAGUGUGGGGAGCGAACAGG